RNAcentral lists this ribosomal RNA (389 nucleotides) under uncultured Synechococcus sp. RNAcentral's name for it is "bacterial SSU rRNA". It matches the Rfam family "Bacterial small subunit ribosomal RNA", at positions 356 to 762 of the family's 1533-position model. Lineage: Bacteria; Bacillati; Cyanobacteriota; Cyanophyceae; Synechococcales; Synechococcaceae. The record is from RNAcentral.
GGGGAAUUUUCCCCAAUGGGCGAAAGCCUGACGGAGCAACGCCGCGUGAGGGAGGAAGGUCUUUGGAUUGUAAACCUCUUUUCUCAAGGAAGAUAAUGACGGUACUUGAGGAAUCAGCAUCGGCUAACUCCGUGCCAGCAGCCGCGGUAAUACGGGGGAUGCAAGCGUUAUCCGGAAUUAUUGGGCGUAAAGCGUCCGUAGGCGGCCAGGCAAGUUUGUUGUUAAAGCSUGCAGCUCAACUGCAUAUCGGCAAUGRAAACUGCUUGGCUAGAGUGUGGUAGGGGUAGAGGGAAUUCCCRGUGUAGCGGUGAAAUGCGUAGAUAUCGGGAAGAACACCAGUGGCGAAAGCGCUCUGCUGGGCCACAGCUGACGCUCAUGGACGAAAGCUA